UGAGUGAUUCUGGCGAAUGCUUUCCGGAUUUGCAGUAUUAUUCACAGGAUUAUGGAUAUACUUCCGAAUGAGUACCAUACUAGAAUUAAGUACAGUCCAUUCAAGUGCCGUAUUUUACAUGUUAAUUGCUACAGGGACUAUCACGGUCAUUGCUGGAUUUUUAGCUUGUUGCUUUACAGCUAAAGGUCAUUUAGGAUUUCUAUAUGCAUAUGGAUUUUUCAUACUU
RNAcentral lists this long non-coding RNA (226 nucleotides) under Agrilus planipennis (emerald ash borer). RNAcentral's name for it is "uncharacterized LOC112904211, transcript variant X2". Lineage: Eukaryota; Metazoa; Arthropoda; Insecta; Coleoptera; Buprestidae. The record is from RNAcentral.